RNAcentral lists this ribosomal RNA (515 nucleotides) under uncultured bacterium. Its description in RNAcentral is "partial 16S ribosomal RNA". It matches the Rfam family "Bacterial small subunit ribosomal RNA", at positions 28 to 523 of the family's 1533-position model. The record is from RNAcentral.
GAUGAACGCUGGCGGCGUGCCUAAUACAUGCAAGUCGAGCGAAUGGAUUAAGAGCUUGCUCUUAUGAAGUUAGCGGCGGACGGGUGAGUAACACGUGGGUAACCUGCCCAUAAGACUGGGAUAACUCCGGGAAACCGGGGCUAAUACCGGAUAACAUUUUGAACCGCAUGGUUCAAAAUUGAAAGGCGGCUUCGGCUGUCACUUAUGGAUGGACCCGCGUCGCAUUAGCUAGUUGGUGAGGUAACGGCUCACCAAGGCAACGAUGCGUAGCCGACCUGAGAGGGGGAUCGGCCACACUGGGACUUAGACACGGCCCAGACUCCUACGGGAGGCAGCAGUAGGGAAUCUUCCGCAAUGGACGAAAGUCUGACGGAGCAACGCCGCGUGAGUGAUGAAGGCUUUCGGGUCGUAAAACUCUGUUGUUAGGGAAGAACAAGUGCUAGUUGAAUAAGCUGGCACCUUGACGGUACCUAACCAGGAAGCCACGGCUAACUACGUGCCAGCAGCCGCGGUAA